Molecule: ribosomal RNA, 419 nt
Filed under: bacterium
Lineage: Bacteria
Description: partial 16S ribosomal RNA
Rfam family: Bacterial small subunit ribosomal RNA
Source: RNAcentral
UGGGGGAUAUUGCACAGUGGGCGAAAGCCUGAUGCAGCGCCGCCGCGUGGGGGAUGAAGGCCUUCGGGUUGUAAACUUCUUUUGCUCUGAACAAGGCGCACCAUGGGGUGUGUUGAGUGUAGGGGUUGAUUAGCGCCGGCUAACUACGUGCCAGCAGCCGCGGUAAUACGUAGGGCGCGCGCGUGGUCCGGAAUUAUUGGGCGUAAAGGGCUUGUAGGUGGCUGGUUGCGUCGGUCGUGAAAGCUCAUGGCUUAAGUGUGGGUGUUCGGUGGGUACAGGCUGGCUUGAGUUCAGUAGGGGAGGCUGGAAUUCCUGGUGUAGCGGUGGAAUGCGCAGAUAUCAGGAGGAUGACCGGUGGCGAAGGCGGGGCUCGGGGCUGAUACUGACACUGAGGAGCGAAAGCAUGGGGAGCGAACGGG